GAUGCAUUUUGGGUAUGUCUGGUUGGUUGGUUGGUUUUAUUGUUUUUUUUUUUGUUUUUUCUUUUCUUUUUCUUGGUUUUUUUCCCCCAAGGGUGGUGGGGUGAGGAUUGUGAGCUCUUUUUCUUGCCUUGUUAUGUCAGAUAUAUUGUUGUCUAAAUGUGGUGGUUGGUACCUGUACAAGUUGUUUGGAGUGAGCUACUCUGAAGGUUGAUGCUUCUACAAUGCUACUGCAUCCUUUGUUGAUCAUGUUUAGUUUAUCCUGUUCUUUUCAGUCUUCUUGCCCAAAGAUUGUUUUUUCCUCUUUCGGCUAGCUGGUGCUAUGCAAUCUGACUAUCAAAGCAGGACGCACUUCUGCAUGUUAGGUGGUUGUUGAUGAGAUUGCGGUUCAUUUAUUCCUCUGCACCGGUGUUGAUUAAGGCAUCAUGUGUAGAAUUGAUGCAAGGGCCUGUUUCCUUGUGGGCCUAGUCCAACAAAGAUGGGCCUAGAAUGGCCACUCAGGCCACUCUCUCAUAUGCCUAGCAUGAGGGAGGAAGACUCAAGAUCAAAAUCGUCUUCUUCGAUUUUGAUGGAGAAGAAUAGUCCUGGAAGGCUCAUAGGACUCAAAUGAAAGCCGUAGGAUGUAGCCUAUAAAUUUUCCUCCCUUCUUCAUCCAAGUAUUGCCCUAAUCUUUUGCUCAAACUACUGGCGAAAUUCAUGGGAUUUAUUCAGUUUUUUAUCGAGCAUUUUGGAUAAGCCACUGUCAAUUUAUUAUCGGAGUUGUCGUAUUGCUCUUUUAUUCUUGUUCAAUUUUUUUUCUUUCUUCUGGAUCCUAAAAAGACUUUGAUGGCCUGAUUGAGCCAUUAGCUCUGGAUUGAGCCUUCUAUUCUUGUUUUUUUUUCUUCCACCAAGACAACCAUCCUUGUGAGACAUGACUGUGAUCGGAUAGCCUAGGUUAGAGCCACUAUCGUCAGCCAUUGGGGUUGGGGUUACUGCUGCUAUGAAAGGUGGUCGGUCUGAGAUUUUUUUUUUUUUUCCUGUGAGAAGAAGAGAAAAAAAUUAGAGAAAC
Molecule: long non-coding RNA, 1045 nt
Filed under: Elaeis guineensis (African oil palm)
Lineage: Eukaryota; Viridiplantae; Streptophyta; Magnoliopsida; Arecales; Arecaceae
Description: long non-coding RNA (EGUI_LNC075310)
Source: RNAcentral